AUGCAGUCGACGCUGAAGCUUAGUGCUUGCACUGGGUGGAUGAGUGGCGAACGGGUGAGUAAUACGUGAGUAACCUGCCCUUGACUCUGGGAUAAGCCUGGGAAACUGGGUCUAAUACUGGAUAUGACCUCCUGUCGCAUGGUGGGGGGUGGAAAGGGUUUGUACUGGUUGUGGAUGGGCUCACGGCCUAUCAGCUUGUUGGUGGGGUAAUGGCCUACCAAGGCGACGACGGGUAGCCGGCCUGAGAGGGUGACCGGCCACACUGGGACUGAGACACGGCCCAGACUCCUACGGGAGGCAGCAGUGGGGAAUAUUGCACAAUGGGCGCAAGCCUGAUGCAGCGACGCCGCGUGAGGGAUGACGGCCUUCGGGUUGUAAACCUCUUUCAGCACGGAAGAAGCGAAAGUGACGGUACGUGCAGAAGAAGCGCCGGCUAACUACGUGCCAGCAGCCGCGGUAAUACGUAGGGCGCAAGCGUUGUCCGGAAUUAUUGGGCGUAAAGAGCUCGUAGGCGGUUUGUCGCGUCUGCUGUGAAAGCCCGGGGCUUAACCCCGGGUGUGCAGUGGGUACGGGCAGACUUGAGUGCAGUAGGGGAGACUGGAACUCCUGGUGUAGCGGUGAAAUGCGCAGAUAUCAGGAAGAACACCGAUGGCGAAGGCAGGUCUCUGGGCUGUUACUGACGCUGAGGAGCGAAAGCAUGGGGAGCGAACAGGAUUAGAUACCCUGGUAGUCCAUGCCGUAAACGUGGGC
RNAcentral lists this ribosomal RNA (750 nucleotides) under bacterium QAT22. RNAcentral's name for it is "bacterial SSU rRNA". It matches the Rfam family "Bacterial small subunit ribosomal RNA", at positions 55 to 813 of the family's 1533-position model. The record is from RNAcentral.